UUUGAGACUUUAGCUUCCCCAACUCAUUUUCCUAAGUCAGUUCAACUAAAAUGUUGGGUACACUUAAGAUAUUAAGUUUACCAGUGCCCAACUAAUCCGUUUAAUCAGAGUAGUUCACGCAACAAAGAUUUCUUAGUUGUAUGAGUGGCAAUGCAAGGAAACCCCGCCCACCGAGCCUUCCUCGCAGAACAGGUCGCCAUGCUUGAAGACUGACGAAAAGCUUCAAUUUUUGAGUCAAGAGUUCCAGAGGCCUUACAUUUUCAACGGACAUUUAUCAGUAGCCCCUGCAAGGAAACCCCAUCGCGUCAGAACAGGUGCCGCGCCACGGCUGACGAAGCCUCCAUUUUGAAUUAAGACUUCUUGAUUGAGGUCAUAGGCCUAAAUUUACAACGGACAUUUAACAGAAGCCCCUGCAAGGAAACCCCACUGCCUCAGAACAGGUGCCAGGGCUGACGAAGCCUCCAUUUUGAAUUAAGACUUCUUAAUACAGUAAUUGAGAACUAAAGCUCAAAAAAGGCAAUGAGACGUAUAAAAGAGAUGGUUCUCUACUGACUGUUAAUUCUGCUAUGAAGAGGGACAUACUCAACAAGGUAGCAAGUGCUAUGUAUGAGUACAAUGCAUAUCCAACAACCAAGCAAAUUGAGGAUGUUGCUCAAGUCCUCAUCGAAAAGCAUCCCUGUUUGAGAGAGCCAGGAUCUACCCAUGGGUGGUACUGCUGGAAGUUCAGCCUCGCUUUUAAAAUGGGUAACCUCCGUCAGAAAUAUCGUAUUGCAGGAUGCCCAGAGCUUACAAUCAAUCAUAAGAGGUCUACAGGCACAUCAUUGGGUAAAAAAAUGAAG
Sinocyclocheilus anshuiensis is the source of this 839-nucleotide long non-coding RNA. RefSeq lists it as uncharacterized. Lineage: Eukaryota; Metazoa; Chordata; Actinopteri; Cypriniformes; Cyprinidae. The transcript is spliced from 4 exons. The record is from RefSeq and is a predicted model, not a curated record.